CCUACGGGAGGCAGCAGUGAGGAAUAUUGGUCAAUGGGCUUACGCCUGAACCAGCCAAGUCGCGUGAGGGAAGACUGCCCUAUGGGUUGUAAACCUCUUUUGUCAGGGAGCAACGCCGGCUACGUGUAGCCGGACUGAGAGUACCUGAAGAAAAAGCAUCGGCGAACUCCGUGCCAGCAGCUGCGGUAAUACGGAGGAUGCGAGCGUUAUCCGGAUUUAUUGGGGUUAAAGGGUGCGUAGGCGGAAUGCCAAGUCAGCGGUAAAAUCGCGGGGCUAAACCCCGCUCGGCCGUUGAAACUGGCGUGCUUGAGUGGGCGAGAGGGAUGCGGAAUGCGUGGUGUAGCGGUGAAAUGCAUAGAUAUCACGCAGAACUCCGAUUGCGAAGGCAGCAUACCGGCGCCCAACUGACGCUGAAGCACGAAAGCGUGGGUAUCGAACAGGAUUAGAUACCCGAGUAGUC
RNAcentral lists this ribosomal RNA (460 nucleotides) under uncultured bacterium. Its description in RNAcentral is "partial 16S ribosomal RNA". It matches the Rfam family "Bacterial small subunit ribosomal RNA", at positions 338 to 795 of the family's 1533-position model. The record is from RNAcentral.